UUGCUUGUACCUAUGUCCUGAAUGGUUUUGCCUAGGUUGUCUUCCCGGCUUUUUAUAGUUUUGGGUUUUACAUUUAAGUUUUGAAUCCAUCUUGAGUAGAAUUUUGUGUAUAGUGUAAGAAAGGGGUUCAGCUUCAGUCUUCAGCAUACACCUAGCCAAUUAUCCCAGCACCAUUAAUUGAAAAAGGAGUCUUUUCCCUUUUGAGCAUUCGCGUUUCUCAGAGUUGCAUUUUAUUUUGUAUCUCUAAGUGUAAAUUGAGAAAAUAUAUGUUCUAAGGGACCUGGGAAGUGACCAUUCAUCUUUUCUCUGAAAAUCUUUAUCAUAGGUUUUUCUACCGUGGGGAUUGAAAGCAUGAGGGUCCAUAUUCGAGACUUGAGAGGAUUGUACAUGAGAUUUUGUGCUUACCUAAUGUAGACUGAAUUAAGAAGAGAUGACUUUUAAGUGACAUUAAGGAAGUGGUGUUAAUUGGCCUACUCUAUAAGUUUAUAUUAAAUUGGGUUCUGAGCGAGAGCUUUGGGAUUCGUGUUCAUCUAGUUUUCUUGCCUGAGCUUCUUUUACUACCUUAUAGUAUUUAAUGAACUACUUCUAUUUGCUUCCUUGUUGUG
Long non-coding RNA from Sapajus apella (tufted capuchin), 605 nucleotides. RefSeq lists it as uncharacterized. The transcript is spliced from 2 exons. The record is from RefSeq and is a predicted model, not a curated record. NCBI's taxonomy places the organism in Eukaryota, Metazoa, Chordata, Mammalia, Primates, Cebidae.